GAGUUUGAUCGUGGCUCAGGACGAACGCUGGCGGCGUGCUUAACACAUGCAAGUCGAGCGGAAAGGCCCUUUCGGGGGUACUCGAGCGGCGAACGGGUGAGUAACACGUGAGUAACCUGCCCCAGUCUUUGGGAUAACCCUCGGAAACGAGGGCUAAUACCGGAUAUGACAUUCCACCGCAUGGUGUGGGUGUGGAAAGUUUUUCGGUCUGGGAUGGGCUCGCGGCCUAUCAGCUUGUUGGUGGGGUGAUGGCCUACCAAGGCGACGACGGGUAGCCGGCCUGAGAGGGCGACCGGCCACACUGGGACUGAGACACGGCCCAGACUCCUACGGGAGGCAGCAGUGGGGAAUAUUGCACAAUGGGCGGAAGCCUGAUGCAGCGACGCCGCGUGAGGGAUGAC
RNAcentral lists this ribosomal RNA (401 nucleotides) under uncultured Actinomycetes bacterium. RNAcentral describes it as "bacterial SSU rRNA". It matches the Rfam family "Bacterial small subunit ribosomal RNA", at positions 9 to 412 of the family's 1533-position model. The record is from RNAcentral. Lineage: Bacteria; Bacillati; Actinomycetota; Actinomycetes.